This 477-nucleotide ribosomal RNA is filed under the name uncultured bacterium. Its description in RNAcentral is "bacterial SSU rRNA". It matches the Rfam family "Bacterial small subunit ribosomal RNA", at positions 47 to 513 of the family's 1533-position model. The record is from RNAcentral.
CCUAACACAUGCAAGUCGAGCGGAAACGAAGAGGUGCUUGCACCUCUGGCGUCGAGCGGCGGACGGGUGAGUAAUGCUUAGGAAUAUGCCUUAUGGUGGGGGACAACAGUUGGAAACGACUGCUAAUACCGCAUAAUGUCUACGGACCAAAGUGGGGGACCUUCGGGCCUCACGCCAUAAGAUUAGCCCAAGUGGGAUUAGCUAGUUGGUGAGGUAAUGGCUCACCAAGGCGACGAUCCCUAGCUGGUUUGAGAGGAUGAUCAGCCACACUGGGACUGAGACACGGCCCAGACUCCUACGGGAGGCAGCAGUGGGGAAUAUUGCACAAUGGGCGCAAGCCUGAUGCAGCCAUGCCGCGUGUGUGAAGAAGGCCUUCGGGUUGUAAAGCACUUUCAGUAAGGAGGAAAGGUUAAGUGUUAAUAGCACUUAGCUGUGACGUUACUUACAGAAGAAGCACCGGCUAACUCCGUGCCAGCA